Molecule: ribosomal RNA, 440 nt
Filed under: uncultured bacterium
Lineage: Bacteria
Description: bacterial SSU rRNA
Rfam family: Bacterial small subunit ribosomal RNA
Source: RNAcentral
AGGAGGCAGCAGUAGGGAAUCUUCCGCAAUGGACGAAAGUCUGACGGAGCAACGCCGCGUGAGGGAUGAAGGCCUUCGGGUUGUAAACCUCUGUCUUCAGGGAAGAAAAAAAUGACGGUACCUGAGGAGGAAGCCCCGGCUAACUACGUGCCAGCAGCCGCGGUAAUACGUAGGGGGCGAGCGUUAUCCGGAAUUAUUGGGCGUAAAGGGCGCGUAGGCGGAUAUUUAAGUCAGAUGUGAAAACCCGGGGCUCAACCGCGGGAUUGCAUCUGAUACUGGGUAUCUUGAGGACAGGAGAGGAAAGUGGAAUUCCUAGUGUAGCGGUGAAAUGCGUAGAUAUUAGGAGGAACACCAGUGGCGAAGGCGACUUUCUGGACUGUAACUGACGCUGAGGCGCGAAAGCGUGGGGAGCAAACAGGAUUAGAUACCCCGGUAGUCCU